GUUAUGCUCCUAUUUUAAAAACAUAUAUUGUGCUGAGACAACUUUAAUAAUCUUAUUGUUUUCUGUGCCCAAGAUUUCAGAAGUUUCCUGGUGAAUUCUUUUGCUACAAUUGAAAGAGGCUUUAAUAACCUCAAUUUUACUUCCAAUAUCCAUUUUUAAAAAAUAAAAACCCAUCUGCAAUGUGAUUUCAUGCAACACUUGGAAAUAGUAAUAAAUAAACGAUGAGAUUUAUUUAAACUGAUUGAGUUACAAGAAUAACUUUAAACAUUUUAACUAAUCCCUUUGUGUU
Molecule: long non-coding RNA, 289 nt
Filed under: Physcomitrium patens
Lineage: Eukaryota; Viridiplantae; Streptophyta; Bryopsida; Funariales; Funariaceae
Description: long non-coding RNA (PPAT_LNC000876)
Source: RNAcentral